GGAAACUGAGGCACAGAUGUGAAGUGAUUCAUCCUAAACCACAGUGGGAGUUGGUGUCAGAGGUGUCAGAUGAUACUUCAGGACCUCUUGGCUGCCAGUCCUGCAUUCAGGCCACUAGAUCUUAUUUUCCCAGUGUUAUGCUACAUCCUGGAUCAGGAGAGUGUGGACUACAGGGGUCCUUCUCAAACUGCGUGUUCAAGAAAAUCAAAUAAAAUGGAAUCUCAUGUGAGGAGGCAGAGAAUGACCCCUGAAGAACUGAAUUUUUGCCACACCCCUUGCUAAUCAAUAGACACUUCCUUAUUCAAUACCUCUGUCAGCAGAGAAGGGGUCCCCACACAUUCUUGUUGGAGCCACUAUAUGUUUCUCCCCUCCCUUUACACUUUGCAGCUGCCUUCAUACUCCCCAACACUUAUUCCUGCAGCAAGGCUAUGACACUGAUUCAAGAGCCAACCAGACAGAAGACUACUUAGCUGAUGAGAUCUGACAGCAUCGCAGCCCAAUCGGCUAUGGCUAGAGGCUAAACUGCACUCUUCUUCUGGAAAGCGUGCCAUCAUUUUCAUCUGCAGCUGUAACGUUGUUUUUGCAGCCUCUAGCUUAUAUAGAUAUUGCAAAGGAAAACAGUUUCGUAUCCUCCUCCACAAACAGCGGGAAAAGAUCUUUCCUUUGGCUUAACUGGGUGUUUAGUAGAACCGGCUUAGCAUCACAGACUGAACAGUUAAUGAGAGUUAAUGAGAGUAUUGUACAAGUUUAGUGCAUAGUUACAAUGUUAUUACAGCAUUGUUAACACAGCCCGUUUUCUUAUCCUGUGGAAUGAAGUCAUAUUGAGGCCCAAGAACAAAUCUUAAAGGACAGAUAAUGUGAAAAUGUAAAGCCCCCAUAUUCAAUCCAAUAGAAGAUAUGAUAGAAUCCACACCACUGUGGUUUCACUUAGAUGCAAUAUUCCUUUUUCUUGUCCUAGACAGUUGUGCACUGUUGCUGUGAUCUGUUAAAUGGCUGCUAUGCUCCACCCCAGAAAUGGCUGCAUUUAUGUAGAAUGUGAGCCAAUGUAUUCACAGAAAAAGAUGCAAUUCCUACCCCAAAGAGAGUACAAUCUAAAUAGUGUACAGCUUCAUUAGUGGCUUUCUUAAUGGUGUUCCUUUAGCUUGCUCCCUACAUGACAGCCUUUCAACUGGCUAACGCGAAACAGUAAAAAUUGUAAAGUGCAUAGGUAUCUUUUGCAGUGAAGGGUGUUAUUGAAAUAUAAUACUGUAGUGCCCAACAUGGUAGAGCCUGGCUCUUUGAUUUUGCAGUACCCAAUACAAUACAGGUAUCCGCUACCAUAAUACAACUACUACUACUAAUUAAAUACAUAAACUUCGGAAAAUAGCUAUAUAAUUGUCUCUUUCUACCACCUACUGGACAUAAUGGGAAACUGCAGGACCGUGCUGUUAGAUACACUUUAUUGCCCUCUGCAGACAUCUCCUAGGAAAACAGCUCACUUAUGGGUAAGGUUAAGAUUUUGUCACAGUUAUUUUUAGUAAAAGGAACCUGAAAGGUCACAAGCAAUAAAC
Long non-coding RNA from Chelonia mydas (Green sea turtle), 1550 nucleotides. RefSeq lists it as uncharacterized. The record is from RefSeq and is a predicted model, not a curated record. The transcript is spliced from 3 exons. NCBI's taxonomy places the organism in Eukaryota, Metazoa, Chordata, Testudines, Cheloniidae.